This 393-nucleotide ribosomal RNA is filed under the name uncultured bacterium. Its description in RNAcentral is "bacterial SSU rRNA". It matches the Rfam family "Bacterial small subunit ribosomal RNA", at positions 355 to 744 of the family's 1533-position model. The record is from RNAcentral.
UGAGGAAUAUUGGUCAAUGGGCGGAAGCCUGAACCAGCCAUGCCGCGUGCGGGAAGGAGGCCCUAUGGGCUGUGAACCGCUUUUGCCUGGGGGCAAUAAGGGCGUCGCGCACGUCCGAUGAGAGUACCAGGCGAAUAAGCAUCGGCUAACUCCGUGCCAGCAGCCGCGGUAAUACGGGGGAUGCGAGCGUUAUCCGGAUUCAUUGGGUUUAAAGGGUGCGUAGGCGGCUUUGCAAGUCAGCGGUGAAAGGCCCGGGCUCAACCCGGAAAGUGCCGUUGAUACUGUGAGGCUGGAAUGCGGAUGCUGUGGGAGGAAUGAGUGGUGUAGCGGUGAAAUGCAUAGAUAUCACUCAGAACACCGAUUGCGAAGGCAUCUCACAAAUCCGCAAUUGAC